CGAUGUCAGCGCCGUGACAUUUUGAGCUACAAGUGGAAUCUAAGGAUUCCGGUUUAGAGAGUUGAUAUUAAGGGUACCUUAUGUAUGCUUACCAAAUUUGGGGUCAUUUGGAGUCCGUUUGGAUAGGGUCUUGACUUGGCCAAAGUCCAGUGGCAUUGUCGUAAUUUGCUGAUUGGUCCGAAGGCCAUAACUCGUUCCAUGUGUAUGGGAAUGGGGUGAAACUUCAUGGAGGUGUGAAGAAAGUCAAGAGAAAGGAGUAGGAACAGACUGCACCCAAUUUGAAGGUCGGAUGAAUGAUCUAAGCCCCAGUAUGAUUCUCGGGUAAAAUGAUGUCUAGUGGCGGACAUUGGAAUUAUUUAUUUUAAGCAUAUAUAAGGGGGGUGUGAAUGGUGACAGCCUACCAGCCUCCCCCGGUGUGUCUACAGAUGGCCACCCCAAGUGUGCUGCCUUGAGGGACAACCUCAAGGGCCUGCCUUGGCAUGUCAAAGAAAUGCGCAAGGUACUCAUAGGGCUCGGGAACCCUAUGGGCAACGCAAGGUCGGGUGGAUUAGCGUUGGGCACCGGAAAAGGCUAGAGGUUGGCUAUAUAAACCAACAAGCCUCGUGGGCCAUCUAAAUGAUGGAAGGAUGCCUCCAAGCCGAUAGAGCAAUCGAGAUACUCUCCCCAAGAGACUCGUGAGCUAGCUUGUGAGCUUGGUCAAGGUUCAGCCAAGCGAGCAAGGGUCCGUUGGCCUAGACGCGCAGUUGUGGGGCGACACUGUGCUANNNNNNNNNNNNNNNNNNNNNNNNNNNNNNNNNNNAGAGGGCAUAUCUAAGGAAGACGCUUGAGAUAAAGGCCAAGGAUUGAGGGUUGCCCUACUCGAGUGAAGCAAAGGCCAAGUGCACAUGAACGAGGCAAUGUCAAGCUUGAGGAUAGGACUGUGCAUGCGAUGGCAAUGCUCAGGCCAAGGUGACGGACGAGUAUGUCCGUAGCCAUCCCCAGGGGCGCAUAUGGACGAGAUCCAAGGAUUAAAGGUGCACCAGAAGAGUUGCUUAUACGUUGGCCAUGUCAGCCGACAUGUUGAAGGAGCGGCACCAAAGGGGGAAAGCCUCUGAGGCGAGCUUCCCACAGGCACAGGAUCGUACUAAAGACCUGGAAAAUGAGGAAGGCUGGCCCAUAGUUGGGGGAACCAUGGGCACCGCACGACAAAAUUAUAUGCCGCUGACAAGUUGAAAAAUGAGCCCGUAACAAGUGGUAUCAGAGCAUAAAAUUGAGAGAAUAUUGGGAAUGUUAUUGCAGCGAUCACGUCAAAGCAUAGAUUGACAUUCGUUGUGCUCAUGAAGAUCGUUUGAGACGAUGCUACCUUGUAAAGAGAAUUGGUUGUAUGUUGAGACGCUUGAGUUGGCUAUGUCAACCAAGGCCCAUCAUUUCAGAAUUACGCCUUUUCACAGCCUUUGAUUCCGCCUUCGUCUGUGUGGGUUGAUUCAUCUCCGAAGCAUCUGAGAGUGAUUAAGAAACCUUCAAGGGAUGACUUCAAAUCAGUGGGUACCGUAUGCAGAGGGAUUCCAUGGAGGCACGUUGGGCCAACAGGUGUGGUCAUCGUGCAAUGCUGUUUGAGUGGAACCACAAAGUUGGACAAUCGGAUAGCUGGUGCUCAAAUGUCCUCGAUUGUGGGGAACCGUCAGUUCGUCAGAAACUCUGUUAGCGGUAUGUUGGCAACUAUGGUCAUAAGAGAGCAUGGACUUGACAAGGACGUCAAGUAAGGUUGGUAAAGUGCAUCAGAAGCUUGUCAAUCAAGUAGCUUGUUCAUGCAAAGCGACGAUCCAGGGUUGUUAGCCAUGAAAGAGUCUGGGCUGAGUUAAAGAAGGGGAUAUGCCGAUAAGUCAAAUGGUCAAGAGGAUGAGCCAUGUCUGCCAGGUCGUGCAGCAAUGUUCCAAGAGAGUUGAAGCCGUAGACUAUAAACAUUGUUGAUCGUGCUUAGGUCUUGCCAUGGAUGCAAUUAGGGCAUCAAGUUGAAUGCCCACCAAGAAGGUUGGGCUUGAGCUUUGCCGCAGGCAUGUGAAACGGUCUGUCUAAAGAAAGUCGAACUCAGGGUCGGAACGACAACCUAGCCACCUAAUGGGUUGCGAAGAAUGGUAGGAGAGUCCCUAAACCUAGCCACCUAAUGGGUUGCGAAGAGUGGCAGGAGAGUCCCUAAACCUAGCCAUCCAAUGGGUUGCGAGGAGUGGCAGGAGAGUCCCUACAGAAGAGAGCUAUGCAGGAUGAGUGGGCAGUGAAGCCUACGGCAUGGACAAGCAGAGCUUGCAGUUGGAGAGAGUGCUAUGCCAGGCAAGAACCAGGCUAGCACCAAGCGGACCAUUGGGCCGCGACAACGUGAAGAAGGACCUGAGUGCAGGCUUCUUUGCGGGAAGAUGGGUGUUAAAGUCAGGUAGAGGUAAAGCCAUCAGGUGUGUGAGCAGUAUGCAUAAACCAAACCAUUUCAUGGAGAGGUGUUGUGCCAAAGUACUAUGGGUAAGGAAAGUCGUCAAAGUGGAAUUAGAUAAAGCAUUGAAAAUGAAUUGGGUUCCAAAUUUAAGGAUGGGUUCUUUCCAAGAGUAGAAGAGCGGGUCGGAGGCCGCAGAUGGGUGAACCAAGAGAGUUCUCGCCAUAGGCUAUAGGUACAAGGGUACCCCGAACGUUGAAGGACUGCGAAGGGAAAGAUUGAGUUUUGAACGAAGCAUCUAAUUCACAGAGUAGUGCGCAGAUGCCGGCACUUUGAGAUAAGAAGCACUUGCCAAAGGGUACGUCCCAAGAGAGUGUGAGGUGCCUAUGGGCGCAGAGCACACGAGAUGCCAAAAGGUGCAAUGGUGAAACAUGGGUUUCCAAAGGCUGUUGUGAAUGAUGAUUGGGACAAAGUUCGUAAUUUAGGCUACCGCCAGUGACGUCGCUCGAGGAGAAAAAAUAAGGACCAUAAGGGUAUGGUUGGCAAAGAUGCCACAUCGAGGGAUGCCUACCUAGCUACGUUGUGCUUAAAAGGUAGAAGUCCAGGAGGGAAGAUAGUUGUCUACCAGAGGCAAAGGAUCGAAGGGCUAGACAUGCCAGGUAUGGAUGGCCUAGUAGGAUCGCCAGGGUGGAAACAGAUUCCCGAACAAGAUGAAGGCCGUUAGGAGCAUGGUGCGGAUAUGACUUAAGGUCACCGCAAAGUUAGUCACCAGAGGGUGUAGGUAUAGAGACACCGUCCGAGCAGAAGUGCGGAGUGCACUCUUGGAUAAAACUAGGGGGAGAAGGGCAAGGGGCCUGACUCUAUUUUUAAGAAAGAGCUCACAAGAGUUCCUACACACAAGGAUUUGGGGGCCGCGAUGUAAAUCCCCAAGGGUGCAGACUUUGGGUUGUCGUCGGUGUUGCAUGUCAUUGAGGACAAUGACUACUUCAGGUGUGUGAGGGUGUGAUGCCCCAAAAGUUGGGGCUGUCACUUGCCAAGAUUGUGCGCGCCAACUAGGCCACAACCUUGUCAGCUAUGCAGGCGGCAUGUGCUGAGGGAAUAUGCUGAAGUCGAAGAUGAGGCAAAGGGGCAUAACAUGAGGCAACAAACAUCUAUAUAUGUUGCAUGACAUUUCCUAAGAAUUCCAAUGUGAUUUGAAGAGGGCUUGGCGUGAGCCCAAGGGGGUGGAGGCAUGGUGAGGAUCGUGUGCGGUGUUCGAUGUCAGCGCCGUGCCAUUUUGAGCUACAAGUGGAAUCUAAGGAUUCCGAUUUAGAGCGUUGAUAUUAAGGGUACCUUAUGUAUGCUUACCAAAUUUGGGGUCGUUUGGAGUCCGUUUGGAUAGGGGCUUGACUUGGCCAAAGUCCAGUGGCAUUGUCGUAAUUUGCUGAUUGGUCCGAAGGCCAUAACUCGUUCCAUGUGUAUGGGAAUGGGGUGAAACUUCAUGGAGGUGUGAAG
Molecule: long non-coding RNA, 3895 nt
Filed under: Capsicum annuum
Lineage: Eukaryota; Viridiplantae; Streptophyta; Magnoliopsida; Solanales; Solanaceae
Description: long non-coding RNA (CANN_LNC004157)
Source: RNAcentral